UACGAAGGGGGCUAGCGUUGUUCGGAAUUACUGGGCGUAAAGCGUGCGCAGGCGGUUUUGUAAGUCAGGUGUGAAAUCCCCGGGCUUAACCUGGGAAUGGCAUUUGGGACUGCAAGGCUGGAGUACGGCAGAGGAGACUGGAAUUCCUGGUGUAGCAGUGAAAUGCGUAGAGAUCAGGAGGAAUACCGAUGGCGAAGGCAGGUCUCUGGGCUGAUACUGACGCUCAUGCACGAAAGCGUGGGGAGCAAACAGG
RNAcentral lists this ribosomal RNA (253 nucleotides) under uncultured bacterium. Its description in RNAcentral is "partial 16S ribosomal RNA". It matches the Rfam family "Bacterial small subunit ribosomal RNA", at positions 524 to 776 of the family's 1533-position model. The record is from RNAcentral.